UGCAGAAGCAAAGAACACAACAGAUGACA
Molecule: non-coding RNA, 29 nt
Filed under: Mus musculus (house mouse)
Lineage: Eukaryota; Metazoa; Chordata; Mammalia; Rodentia; Muridae
Source: RNAcentral